UACGUAGGGUGCGAGCGUUGUCCGGAAUUAUUGGGCGUAAAGAGCUCGUAGGCGGUCUGUCGCGUCGAAUGUGAAAACCCGGGGCUCAACUCCGGGCUUGCAUUCGAUACGGGCAGACUGGAGGUAUGCAGGGGAGAACGGAAUUCCUGGUGUAGCGGUGAAAUGCGCAGAUAUCAGGAGGAACACCGGUGGCGAAGGCGGUUCUCUGGGCAUGUCCUGACGCUGAGGAGCGAAAGUGUGGGGAGCGAACAGG
Molecule: ribosomal RNA, 253 nt
Filed under: uncultured bacterium
Lineage: Bacteria
Description: partial 16S ribosomal RNA
Rfam family: Bacterial small subunit ribosomal RNA
Source: RNAcentral